RNAcentral lists this ribosomal RNA (164 nucleotides) under uncultured bacterium. RNAcentral describes it as "partial 16S rRNA". It matches the Rfam family "Bacterial small subunit ribosomal RNA", at positions 355 to 511 of the family's 1533-position model. The record is from RNAcentral.
UAGGGAAUCUUCCACAAUGGGCGCAAGCCUGAUGGAGCAACGCCGCGUGAGUGAAGAAGGUCUUCGGAUCGUAAAACUCUGUUGCUAGAGAAGAACAUGCAGGAGAGUAACUGUUCUUGUAUUGACGGUAUCUAACCAGAAAGCCACGGCUAACUACGUGCCCA